Molecule: ribosomal RNA, 460 nt
Filed under: uncultured bacterium
Lineage: Bacteria
Description: SSU rRNA
Rfam family: Bacterial small subunit ribosomal RNA
Source: RNAcentral
AGAAUCAACGCUGGCGGCGCGCUUAACACAUGCAAGUCGAACGAGAAAGUCCGCAAGGAUGAGUACAGUGGCGUACGGGUGAGUAACACGUGGAUAAUCUACCUUCGAGUGGGGGAUAACCCUGGGAAACCGGGGCUAAUACCGCAUAAGCCUGAGAAGGGAAAGCCGAAAGGCGCUCAAAGAGGAGUCCGCGGCCGAUUAGCUAGUUGGUAGGGUAAAGGCCUACCAAGGCGAUGAUCGGUAGCCGGCCUGAGAGGGCACGACGGCCACACUGGCACUGAAACACGGGCCAGACUCCUACGGGAGGCAGCAGUGGGGAAUCUUGCACAAUGGAGGAAACUCUGAUGCAGCGACGCCGCGUGAGCGAUGAAGCCCGUUCGGGUGUAAAGCUCUUUCGACGGAACGAUAAUGACGGUACCGGAGAAGAAGCUGCGGCUAACUACGUGACCAGCAGGCCGAC